UGAGGAAUAUUGGUCAAUGGGCGAGAGCCUGAACCAGCCAAGUAGCGUGCAGGAUGACGGCCCUAUGGGUUGUAAACUGCUUUUAUAAGGGAAUAAAGUGAGCCUCGUGAGGCUUUUUGCAUGUACCUUAUGAAUAAGGACCGGCUAAUUCCGUGCCAGCAGCCGCGGUAAUACGGAAGGUCCGGGCGUUAUCCGGAUUUAUUGGGUUUAAAGGGAGCGUAGGCCGGAGAUUAAGCGUGUUGUGAAAUGUAGAUGCUCAACAUCUGCACUGCAGCGCGAACUGGUUUCCUUGAGUACGCAC
RNAcentral lists this ribosomal RNA (301 nucleotides) under uncultured Prevotella sp. RNAcentral's name for it is "bacterial SSU rRNA". It matches the Rfam family "Bacterial small subunit ribosomal RNA", at positions 355 to 653 of the family's 1533-position model. The record is from RNAcentral. Lineage: Bacteria; Pseudomonadati; Bacteroidota; Bacteroidia; Bacteroidales; Prevotellaceae.